This is a long non-coding RNA of Caretta caretta (loggerhead turtle), 6891 nucleotides long. RefSeq lists it as uncharacterized. The record is from RefSeq and is a predicted model, not a curated record. Lineage: Eukaryota; Metazoa; Chordata; Testudines; Cheloniidae.
UCUUCCUGUUUCUCUCCCUCUCUCUCCUUUUGCCAACUACAUGAUCCUUGAUUAAAAAUGGAACAGGGUUUUAAAAACAAAAACAAAACCAGGAGAGCGAAAUGGAGCAGAGGAAAUGCAACUGUCAGAAAACGGGAUGGUCAGACUUCCUGGGUGAACCUGCUUGUGUCUGACUCAGUGUAAAUCCACCAUCUUCAGCCUGGCAAGUUGUCUUUUGGUUGUUUUUUUGGGGGUGGGGGGGGAAGGGGGGUGUUCUGCUUGCGAUCUGAGCCUUGGUACCUAAGGAGGAAGAGGAGGAGGAGGAGGGUGUGUUACUGAAUGGGAGCUAAAGCCUCCUCGGGACGGAGCUGAGGUGAAACAGGCUGAACCCGACUGAUGUGCCUCCCCUCUCGGCUGGACCCAGUGCCCCAAGCAGCCGAUGAGAGACCCUCGGCCGCCCGCCUCGCAGGUAUCUUCUUUCCUAGGUAUCCAGGAUGGGCUUAUUAAUUGUGAAUUAUUCGGUAGAAGAUCCUUCUAAAAUAUCCAGUAAUUUAUUUACUGGAAUAUAGCAGGAUGUGUACUUGAAGGCCUCUUUUGCCUCUUUAAUCACAUGAAGAAACCUUGCAACUCUUACUACCAACUAAAUGCUUUGCACAGUACUCAACAAAACAGAAGCAGCCUCUAGCAUUAGACAGUGUACAGAAACCAGUUGGCUAGCUACAAUUGGGAGAUACCUUUCUUAACAGAAGUUACUCAUGAUUCUGCUCUUGGCUACUGGCAUUUCUAUUGCCCCAAAACAUCUACUUCCACAUCUUCUGCCGUGAAGCUUUGAAUAAACCAUACUCUUCAUUUUCACAUGUGAAGAGAAAAAUUUACUUACAUGUCUAAAUGGCAGAACCUGCCAGUGCAGAAGGUCAUAUAAUGCUACCUAUUAAACCAUCAAACUCUUCACAUGCUUUGAAAAGAAAACAGACAUGGGUUUUGGAAAAGGAUCUUAUACUGCAUCAUCAUUCUGGUAUCCUACCAAAGGAACACACAGAAUAGGAUGUUCUUUCCACUGGUCACAAUAAAUGAUUGCUUACAGGGACCGACAAAGACUUCAUGACCACUAUCUGACCCACUUAUAAAUUAUUAUAAACUGGUGGGGAAGUUUAUCUACUAAUCAUCUAGAUUUGAGAGUUUCUUUUCCUAUUUAAAGAAAACUAUCAUGGUAUUGUAUGGGAAACUAAUCGUCACAGUUUUUAUAGGACUCUAAGCACAAUUCAGUAUUUUUCAGUACUCUUUUUGGUACUGACUCAAGAAAGUGGUUGAGCAUGUGCUUAAUUAUACACAUGUGCUUAACUUUAAGUCCUUUCCUGAAUAGGGAUGUUUUUCUGAAUAUGGCCCUUGAAUAUGCAGCAACAGUUAGCACCCGUUCCCAGAAAUGUGUUGUCAUCAGCAAAAAUGUUGGUGCACAAAUAAAGACCUCUUGUGCACCAAGACGUAUAGAUCUUGAUGUUAAUGGGGGGAAAUAGUGAAUAUUUUUCAUUAACAAUGGAAGUAAUGGGGAAUCAAGGUCAUCUAGUAGAAAUGAACAGCAGCAGUACGGGAGGAAUUUAUUUUCAAAGUUUCAAGAGAGACAAGCAAAUAGGAUCAACACAAAAUAAAAUUUAUAAGAAAUUGUUUGAUAUUUUUCUUCAAAAAAUGGAAACAAAACAAUAUUAGUGUUUGAUAUUGGAGAAAAUCCUACUUUUGGGGGGCAGGAGUAGGAUGUUGUAUGGCAUAAUGUUUAGGAAAGCACUGAAGCAAAAAAAUUGGGGAUCUCUUCCCAACUGCCACUAACUCUGCAACCUUGUGCAUGUCAUUUAAUCUUUUUUUGUUAGUUGCCCUACUUGUAAAGAGAUAAUAAUACCCACUUCUGUCAAGUAUUCUGAGAUUUUUAGAUAAAUAGAACUAUGUAAGUGCAAAGCAUUUUUAAAGUAUUGUUUUCAUAAUACAAUGAUAAAAGUGGUUCAUAGUGUACUUAAAAAGAUUGCCCGUUAGGCUUAAUGCUCCUGAGAUAAGAGACAGCUUGGGCUAUACACCAUGAAAGUAUCAGCUUCUUAAUUUAAAGGUGUGUGUUUGUGUGGGUGGGCAGCUUUAACUUGGCUGCUACUUUUAAUGUUUAAUGGCCCAAUUCUGCCAUCAAAUGUGAAAUAUGCAUAUUGAUGAAAAGUGAUGGAAGUGAGAUGCUGUGAUCUGCAAUGUUUAUUUCAGGAUCUGCAGUAUUCUGCCAUCUUCUCAAAAUAUGCUUAGCUUUAGCUCUGCAUCUGUUCCACAUUUCAGCUGUUAGAACUCCACAAAAGGCCCUUUUAUGCCCCCAAACUCAAGCUGGUUGUAUACUAGCAUCUAAAGAGCCCUUAAUUUAAGACAGUUUCAGGAGGCUUAUCAUACCGUCUCAUGCAAAGAAACAAACAUAUCAAAGAGUUGUACUAAAGGGUGUGGCCCAGUUUCAUCACCACAGUCAUGAGGAGAUUAUCUUGGAAAGAUAAGUCUGGUGCUGUUUUAUAUUUCUGAAUGAGUCCAUACUGGUGGGGAAGUCCCCUUCCAAAGAGUAUCUGAGGCCAGAAUAGCUAUGAAGAGUCCCUAGUAGGGUCGUUCCAGUUGAGCCUCAUGGCAAGAGCAUGGGGAUGUGUAGUGGGAUCCCUUGGAACAGACAGCUGGUGCAGAGACAUAGGGCCUUAGUAUGGAUGGCUCUGGUCUGGUGCUCAUCCCCUGGGAUCUGUAGCAUGCCACACGUAUGUUGGUCCCAUGGCUGUUCUAUGCGGGGCUUGGGGAGUGGGGAAUCCUGACCCUAAUGGAAUGAUUUGAGAGGAACUCUGAGUAAAAUCUCCUAGAGUUUUCUUAACCAUCCCUUCUUCCAGUAGAUUAUAUGGAAUAAUGCAGCCCAUAGUCAGGUGAAAGAGAAGGGCUGAAUCAUUCCCUUAAAGCACAAAUAGGCAGAUGAUCUUAGUCAGGAAGAAAAGGUUGCAGUGAAUGCCCAACAUUUCCAAACAUGGUAAAAAGGAAGAGUUGUAUCCUGGUUGGGAGAAGCAGCCAUAGAUAGGUAGGUACAAAAAGCAGCAGCCAGCUAGAUACCCUGACAUGAGUGUAUAGAGAAAUGGUAGCAGUUUGGUCCAGAUGUGCGGAUAAUGUGCUUAUAAUUAGUAUAAUGAGACAGAGACAAUCCAGAUGUAGCUAAUUCUGCUGUAAUGUAUAUAGAUGCUGCAAGGGCCAUAGUGGCCAUUAGGAGCCAGAAGCAAACCCUUAGAUUUCCUUUUUGGCAGGAGCACAUGGGCUGCAUAAGUUGGCAACAUCAACUGCACAUUGCCUCCGUUAGACUGGCUAAUACUGAAAAUUGGCAUGUGUGUAUUACAGAGUUUGCAAGCAGCAGCACAUCAUACAGUGGGCUCCAAUGCUAUCAUACUUUACUCUUUCCCAUAGGUAGGAUGCGGACAUAAAACAACCAUCGGUUGCUUUAGCUUAUUUCACCUUUGAGACCUCUCUGGUCUGUGUUACUGGAGAGAUGAUGUUGUACGGGCCCCUAUCAUGUGCACUCCCUUUUCUUCCCACCUACUUUUGGCUUGACUAUACCUAUCUCUCCAAUCAUUCACAUAUUAGUGCAGUACCUUUUGCCAUCCUUAUACCCCAGGCCUGUUGCUGUAAGACAGGGAAGAUGGGGUACCCAGCAUUUUCUGCACUUUAUUACCAUUUUCACCUUAACUAGCAGGCUUUUCUCCUGCUGGGUGCUGUGCAGCCGGGGGAUGAUCAGCCACCUGGAGUGUAAAUUAAUUGUGACCUUAGGUGAAGUAAUUUACUCUCUGCAGCUUUCUCAUAUGUGUAACCAAAUAGAGAGCUGGCUGGCCACACUUAGUCUACUAUAAAGAUCGUGUUAUGCUGAAGAACAGAUAGAAUCAUAAUCAAAAAGGUUGACAAAGGAGGUGCUGUCGUCAUUAUGAAUAGGUCAGAAUAUGAACAAGAGGCUGCUAGGCAGCUCUCCAACACCACUUUCUACAAGCCAUUACCCUCUGAUCCCACUGAGGGUUACCAAAAGAAAGUACACCAUUUGCUCAAGAAACUCCCUGAAAAAGCACAAGAACAAAUCUGCACAGACACAUCCCUGGAACCCCGACCUGGGGUAUUCUAUCUGCUACCCAAGAUCCAUAAACCUGGAAAUUCUGGAUGCCCCAUCAUCUCAGGUAUUGGCACCCUGACAGCAGGAUUGUCUGGCAAUGUAGACUCCCUCCUCAGGCCCUACACUACCAGCUCUCCCAGCUAUCUUCGAGACACCACUGACUUCCUGAGGAAACUACAAUCCAUUGGUGAUCUUCCUGAAAACACCAUCCUGGCCACUAUGUAUGUAGAAGCCCUCUACACCAAUAUUCCACACAAAGAUGGACUACAAGCCGUCAGGAACAGUAUCCCCGAUAAUGUCACAGCAAACCUGGUGGCUGAACUUUGUGAUUUUGUCCUCACCCAUAACUAUUUCACAUUUGGGGACAAUGUAUACCUUCAAAUCAACGGCACUGCUAUGGGUACCUGCAUGGCCCCACAGUAUGCCAACAUUUUUAUGGCUGACUUAGAACAAUGCUUCCCCAGCUCUCGACCCCUAAUGCUCCUCCUCUACUUGCACUACAUUGAUGACAUCUUCAUCAUCUGGACCCAUGGAAAAGAAGCCCUUGAGGAAUUCCACCAUGAUUUCAACAAUUUCCAUCCCACCAUCAACCUCAGCCUGGACCAGUCCACACAAAAGAUCCACUUCCUGGACACCACAGUGCUAAUAAGUGAUGGUCACAAACACCACCCUAUACCAGAAACCUACUGACUGCUAUUCUUACCUACGUGCCUCCAGCUUUCAUCCAGACCACACCACACAAUCCAUUGUCUACAGCCAAGCUCUACGAUACAACUGCAUUUGCUCCAACCCCUCAGACAGAGACAAACACCUACAAGAUCUCUAUCAAGCAUUCUUACAACUACAAUACCCAGCUGCUGAAGUGAAGAAACAGAUUGACAGAGCCAGAAGAGUACCCAGAAGUCACCUACUACAGCACAGGCCCAACAAAGAAAAUAACGGAACGCCACUAGCCAUCACCUUCAGCCCCCAACUAAAACCUCUCCAACGUAUCAUCAAGGAUCUACAACCUAUCCUGAAGGACGACCCAUCACUCUCACAGAUCUUGGGAGACAGGCCAGUCCUUGCUUACAAACAGCCCCGCAACCUAAAGCAAAUACUCACCAGCACCACACAACAGAACCACUAACCCAGGAACCUAUCCUUGCAACAAAGCCCAUUGCCAACUGUGUCCACAUAUGUAUUCAGGGGACACCAUCAUAGAGCCUAAUCACAUCAGCCAUACUGUCAGAGGCUCAUUCACUGCACAUCUACCAAUGUGAUAUAUGCCAUCAUGUGCCAGCAAUGCCCCUCUGCCAUGUACAUUGGUCAAACUGGACAGUCGCUACGUAAAAGAAUAAAUGGACACAAAUCAGACGUCAAGAAUUAUAACAUUCAAAAACCAGUCGGAGAACACUUCAGUCUCUUUGGUCACUCGAUUACAGACCUAAAAGUUGCAAUUCUUCAGCAAAAAAACUUCAAAAACAGACUCCAACGAGAGACUGCUGAAUUGGAAUUAAUUUGCAAACUGGAUACAAUUAACUUAGGCUUGAAUAGAGACUGGGAAUGGAUGGGUCAUUACGCAAAGUAAAACUAUUUCCCCAUGUUUAUUUCCCCCCCCCUCCCCCCCCCCACUAUUCCUCAGACGUUCUUGUCAACUGCUGGAAAUGGCCCACCUUGAUUAUCACUACAAAAGUUUUUUCCCCGCCCCGCUCUUCUGCUGGUAAUAGCUUACCUUACUCUCCUUACAGUGUGUAUGGUAACACCCAUUGUUUCAUGUUCUCUUGUAUAUAAAUCUCCCCACUGUAUUUUCCACUGAAUGCAUCCGAUGAAGUGAGCUGUAGCUCAGAAAAGCUUAUGCUCAAAUAAAUUGGUUAGUCUCUAAGAUGCCACAAGUACUCCUUUUCUUUUUGCGAAUACAGACUAACACGGCUGCCACUCUGAAACCUGAGAUAAGUUUAUGUGAAUGAAAAAUAUCUGCAGUUAGACAUUUUUCUUUCGUUAUGCAAUAUAUUCAAGACAGCAGAUGGCCCACAGUGAGAGAAACUUAUAUAUAACUAAUAGAAGAAUGAAAGUCAGACCCACAAUCUGUCGAGAAUGUAAUCUGUGGUAUAUCAUUCUCCUUUUCUUUCUUCUGUGCUCACUUCUGGAUUUAUGAAAAUCCUCUCCUCUCACCUACCCAGUAGUAGUAGGACAUCCCGCAGUUAUAUGAAAAUCUGUAAUGCAGGUUGACAAUGUCACUAACUAAAUUUGCAAAGCUACAUACUUCUACUUUUAUAUUUAACUGUCUUUAUUUUGCCAUUUCAAAACAGUCUCCUAAGAAAUGUUGCAGUUCAUUUUCCAAAAUUUAGAGGAGAUCCGUUUCAUACAGACGUCCCUACUGUGAAGAGUAUCGGGGAAUUCCUCUUUAAAUUACUGAGGAUCAGCCCUGGCAUGUUUACAACAUUGGUUCCAAGUACCACAUGCACUUUCUUCAAGUGUUUUAAUGUACUGUACUAACAGUAUAAUUGUAUUGUGGAUAAUAUAUAUAGAUAAUUUGCUAUGUUAGAUCAAAUAUGUAAUAUUCGAUAGAACUUCUUAACUACCUUAUUAGUUUAACUUCUGCACAUUGGCAGAUGUCUCCUCUCUUCAUCUCUUACUGUAAAGCUAGGAAGCACUGCAUCUGUGGUGUUGGUGUGGUAAUGCCUGAGGAAAAGUCAGUGUUGUUUAAGGGAAUUUAAAAGUGUAUGUUGAAAGGAUUUGAGUUUCUUUAAAAGGAAGAGUUGGAGGGUUUUGAAAUUAAAAAAAAAGUUUAAACUUUU